Molecule: long non-coding RNA, 227 nt
Filed under: Glycine max (soybean)
Lineage: Eukaryota; Viridiplantae; Streptophyta; Magnoliopsida; Fabales; Fabaceae
Description: long non-coding RNA (GMAX_LNC000247)
Source: RNAcentral
UUAUGAUGCACAAAUACAACACACUCCAAGAUAAGUUUAUUCUGAAAGCAUAUAGAGUGCUAAUGUCACAGACAAAGCUACUAAUGAGAAUCAAAGAUAACUAAUGAAAAAGAGAGACAUUGAUUUCUCAAACUAUUCACACACAAGCCUUUUCUCCAUAUUCAUUUUUUCUUUCUGUACAGUUUUUUCCCCCUCUAGUGACUAGCGUGCUCUAUCUGUCUCUCUGC